UUAAACAGAAGGCCACGGCUAACUACGUGCCAGCAGCCGCAGUAAUACGUAGGUGGCAAGCGUUGUCUGGAUUUAUUGGGCGUAAAGCGAGCGCAGGCGGUUUUUUAAGUCUGAUGUGAAAGCUUUCGGCUCAACCGAAGAAGUGCAUCGGAAACUGGGAAACUUGAGUGCAGAAGAGGACAGUGGAACUCCAUGUGUAGCGGUGAAAUGCGUAGAUAUAUGGAAGAACACCAGUGGCGAAGGCGGCUGUCUGGUCUGUAACUGACGCUGAGGCUCGAAAGUAUGGGUAGCAAACAGGAUUAGAUACCCUGGUAGUCCAUACCGUAAACGAUGAAUGCUAAGUGUUGGAGGGUUUCCGCCCUUCAGUGCUGCAGCUAACGCAUUAAGCAUUCCGCCUGGGGAGUACGGCCGCAAGGCUGAAACUCAAAGGAAUUGACGGGGGCCCGCACAAGCGGUGGAGCAUGUGGUUUAAUUCGAAGCUACGCGAAGAACCUUACCAGGUCUUGACAUACUAUGCAAAUCUAAGAGAUUAGACGUUCCCUUCGGGGACAUGGAUACAGGUGGUGCAUGGUUGUCGUCAGCUCGUGUCGUGAGAUGUUGGGUUAAGUCCCGCAACGAGCGCAACCCUUAUUAUCAGUUGCCAGCAUUAAGUUGGGCACUCUGGUGAGACUGCCGGUGACAAACCGGAGGAAGGUGGGGAUGACGUCAAAUCAUCAUGCCCCUUAUGACCUGGGCUACACACGUGCUACAAUGGAUGGUACAACGAGUUGCGAACUCGCGAGAGUAAGCUAAUCUCUUAAAGCCAUUCUCAGUUCGGAUUGUAGGCUGCAACUCGCCUACAUGAAGUCGGAAUCGCUAGUAAUCGCGGAUCAGCAUGCCGCGGUGAAUACGUUCCCGGGCCUUGUACACACCGCCCGUCACACCAUGAGAGUUUGUAACACCCAAAGUCGGUGGGGUAACCUUUUAGGAACCAGCCGCCUAAGGUGGGACAGAUGAUUAGGGUGAAGUCGUAACAAG
Molecule: ribosomal RNA, 1017 nt
Filed under: Lactiplantibacillus pentosus
Lineage: Bacteria; Bacillati; Bacillota; Bacilli; Lactobacillales; Lactobacillaceae
Description: bacterial SSU rRNA
Rfam family: Bacterial small subunit ribosomal RNA
Source: RNAcentral